UACAGAGGUCUCAAGCGUUGUUCGGAUUCAUUGGGCGUAAAGAGCUCGUAGGCGGCUUGUCGCGUCGAAUGUGAAAUCUCAGGGCUCAACUCUGACAUUGCAUUCGAUACGGGCAGGCUCGAGUUCGGUAGGGGAGACUGGAAUUCCUGGUGUAGCGGUGAAAUGCGCAGAUAUCAGGAGGAACACCGGUGGCGAAGGCGGGUCUCUGGGCCGAUACUGACGCUGAGGAGCGAAAGCGUGGGGAGCGAACAGG
RNAcentral lists this ribosomal RNA (253 nucleotides) under uncultured bacterium. Its description in RNAcentral is "partial 16S ribosomal RNA". It matches the Rfam family "Bacterial small subunit ribosomal RNA", at positions 524 to 776 of the family's 1533-position model. The record is from RNAcentral.